Molecule: transfer RNA, 74 nt
Filed under: Planctomycetia bacterium
Lineage: Bacteria; Pseudomonadati; Planctomycetota; Planctomycetia
Description: tRNA-Val
Rfam family: tRNA
About the family: Transfer RNA (tRNA) molecules are approximately 80 nucleotides in length.
Source: RNAcentral
GGGCGAUUAGCUCAGUUGGUUAGAGCGCUGCUUUCACACGGCAGAGGUCACUGGUUCGAGUCCAGCAUCGCCCA